This is a long non-coding RNA of Felis catus (domestic cat), 677 nucleotides long. RefSeq lists it as uncharacterized. The record is from RefSeq and is a predicted model, not a curated record. The transcript is spliced from 2 exons. Lineage: Eukaryota; Metazoa; Chordata; Mammalia; Carnivora; Felidae.
GGGAGCCCAGAGAGGCUGGCCCGUGGCCCCAAGUUCAUUUACAUUUAUUCUUGCAGAUUUACGAACCACUCAGAAGGGAAGGCAUUUAUUAAGCAAAUAUCCUCCUUGUGCCAACCUCCCAGGUCACCCCAGAACUCUCUUAGAUGCUCCUGAACAGCUGUCACGUCUAAGAGCCAUUAGCGCCACGCCACGGAUGACGACGCUUGGGUUCGUGGGCGCCACGAGGUUUGCCCCCCGCCAGGACGGUGGCGGAGCCAGAUGCAUAGUCAGAUUCUUCAUUGCUCGUGUAUGAACACACGGUUGAUUUUUGUAUACUGAACUUGUAUUCUACAACCUUGCCAAACUCUUUAUUAUGAUUAUGGCAGAGCCCAAGAUCAAAGGAGCCUGUGUUCCUGAACCGCCACGUGGGGAACGCCUGCUGAAUCCAUGGUCAAGUGCACGUGAGCAACGCACAGACACGUGCUGUGUCAGGCACCAAGGUCGGGGGCAUCUGCGUAGCAGCUGCCGUCACCUUAACUAGCACAGCCUCCUACGUAAAUGCCACUUCCUUUCUGGGUCGCUCCCUCCCUAAACGAGGAACCUUCCCUUGAUUCUCUUUCUUAUUUGUUUCCUUUUCAGCCUUACUAAAAACUGUAACUGUAGCUGCCUGUGUCAUUGGUAAAACGUCUUUCUUCUAA